This 482-nucleotide ribosomal RNA is filed under the name uncultured bacterium. RNAcentral describes it as "bacterial SSU rRNA". It matches the Rfam family "Bacterial small subunit ribosomal RNA", at positions 37 to 518 of the family's 1533-position model. The record is from RNAcentral.
UGGCGGCGUGCCUAAUACAUGCAAGUCGAACGGUCUUUCUAUGGAAGCUUGCUUCCACUGAGAAGAUAGUGGCGAACGGGUGAGUAACACGUGGGUAACCUGCCCAUAAGAGGGGGAGUAACAUCCGGAAACGGGUGCUAAUACCGCAUAGUUUCUUGAUCGCAUGAUCGGGAAAGGAAAGACGGCCUUUGUGCUGUCGCUUAUGGAUGGACCCGCGGCGUAUUAGUUAGUUGGUGAGGUAACGGCUCACCAAGACGAUGAUACGUAGCGACCCGAGAGGGUGAUCGGCCACAUUGGGACUGAGACACGGCCCAAACUCCUACGGGAGGCAGCAGUAGGGAAUCUUCCGCAAUGGACGAAAGUCUGACGGAGCCAACGCCGCGUGAGUGAUGACGGCCUUCGGGUUGUAAAGCUCUGUCUUCAGGGACGAUAAUGACGGUACCUGAGGAGGAAGCCACGGCUAACUACGUGCCAGCAGCAGC